Molecule: long non-coding RNA, 511 nt
Filed under: Chlamydomonas reinhardtii
Lineage: Eukaryota; Viridiplantae; Chlorophyta; Chlorophyceae; Chlamydomonadales; Chlamydomonadaceae
Description: long non-coding RNA (CREI_LNC001213)
Source: RNAcentral
ACAUCUAGUCAUGUGGGGGCGGGGCCAAUGUGUGGGCCUUUCCCACGCACUAACUCUCAUGGGUAUUCCCUAUGUCACCAAGCCUGUGAGGCUCACCGAUACUGUCGGUGUGCUGUUAUGCACGCCCUUGUGGAAUCCAGAAGAAAAAGAAGCAAAAGAGAAAAGAAGGCUGUGUGUCUGCACGGCCACCGUGGCCGUGCCAGGACCCACCUCUUGCCGUCAUACAAAAUUUCGCCCGAAGGCCACCGCUCCCGGCGCUGCCUGCCCUCGUGUAGCUGGCAGCUAGUCCGGGGGCUGUUGCUGAGACACGCGGCUGGGCGGCUUAUAUGAAGGGUUUUGCGGGGGGCGCUUGGCCGCCAGCCGCUUGCGAAGCUCCUUCAGGUACCGCUGCACUGCCUGCUGCUUUUGUAAGUGAUAGUGAGGUAGGCGCCUGCUGCGUGCAGGCUGCCGUGGGCCACGGCGUGUCACAGUGACCGCCGCCACCACCGCUCCCGUUGCUGCUGCCUUCAUU